This 400-nucleotide unclassified non-coding RNA is filed under the name soil metagenome. Its description in RNAcentral is "partial contains 5.8S ribosomal RNA, internal transcribed spacer 2, and large subunit ribosomal RNA". The stretch from base 1 to 122 matches the Rfam family "5.8S ribosomal RNA", at positions 35 to 154 of the family's 154-position model. The record is from RNAcentral.
GAUGAAGAACGUAGCGAAAUGCGAUACUUGGUGUGAAUUGCAGAAUCCCGUGAACCAUCGAGUCUUUGAACGCAAGUUGCGCCUCAAGCCAUUAGGUUGAGGGCACGUCUGCCUGGGCGUCACAUAUCGUUGCCUGAUGCCAGUUUCCUCGUGAUGGGUGACUGUGCAGGGCGAUUGAUGGCUUCCCGUGAGCAUUGUUGCCUCAUGGUUGGUUGAAAAUUGAGUCCUUGGUAGGGAGCGCCGUGAUAGAUGGUGGUUGAGUGACGAACGAGACCCAAUCAUGUGAGACCCCUACCGAAUUUGGCCUUCAUGACCCACAUGCGUCUUUGGAACGCUCAUGACGAGACCUCAGGUCAGGCGGGGCUACCCGCUGAGUUUAAGCAUAUCAAUAAGCGGAGGA